Molecule: unclassified non-coding RNA, 843 nt
Filed under: Bombyx mori (domestic silkworm)
Lineage: Eukaryota; Metazoa; Arthropoda; Insecta; Lepidoptera; Bombycidae
Description: ovary specific non-coding RNA
Source: RNAcentral
CUUUGUGUUCGAUUUACGUUAGGUACAGUGUGUGUGUAUACUUCGAUAAGUGUAAUGAAAAUAUUUUGAAUAAAACUUAAAAGUUCUCAAAGAAAUCAUCGUGCCAAAGGAACUUUCUAGAAAAUGGUGCAAGAUGUUGUCGUCUUUUUAAAUUUAAUUCAAUGGCUGGGGUCGCGUGGGCCCGGUGCGACGGCCGGCGGCGUCCAGCGACGUCGCUCGGCCUCUGGACUGGCCGCGCUACUGACGUGACUCGCCUCGACGACUCGCGACCAGACAAACGCGCAUAUCCAUAAUGGGGGACUUUAUUUUGAACUCUGGAUUAUGUGGUAAAUGACGAAUUAACGUAAAUAAAUGUUAAGACAACUAACAAUAUGACUUGAUGAUAUUAUUAUAGUUGUUUAUUAAUCUCCUAUCCUAUGGCCAUUCAUCAAACGACGUCGUGUUAAAAAUUCCCAUCGCGUCAUUCGUCGAACUUUUAAACAUUGCACGCAUUGACAACCUCUUUAGUUACAUAUAACAUCUUUAUAGCGGUAUAUUUGCAUGUAGUUUAAGUUAAGUUCAUAGUGAUAUGUCAAUCGAUCUUAGUUUUAGGCAUGGCUGGCAGAGUCGCGAGUAAGUUCACUUGUAAACUCAUCGCCAAUACUUUUCCGUUACUUUAGAAUGUUUUUUUGUUUUGAAUUCUUGUUCUGGGAGCAAGUUAAAUAUCAAGAUCUACGCGAUAAUAAGUUAGCAUUCCUUGUCAAACGUUUAGCAUUUAAGACUUAAUUGUAGUUUUACUGUUUAUUUUUUAAUUAAAAUGUAAUUUUCAUUCGCAACAGUCAGCAAAUCCAGUAUAUAAGAGCG